GACGAACGCUGGCGGCGUGCUUAACACAUGCAAGUCGAACGGAGUGGCGAACGGGUGAGUAACACGUGUGUGAUCUGCCUUGCACUUCGGGAUAAGCUUGGGAAACUGGGUGUAAUCACGGAUAGUACAGGAUGAGCUCGCGGCCUAUCACCUUGUGGGUGGGGUAAUGGCCUACCACGGCGUCGACGGCGAGACGGCCUGUGAGGGUGUACGGCCACAUUGGGCCUGAGAUACGGCCCAGACUCCAACGGGGGGCAGCAGUGGGGAAGAUUGCACAAUGGGCGGAAGCCUGAUGCAGCGACGCCGGGUGGGGGAUGAAGGCCUUCGGGUUGUGAACGCCUUUAGGCAGGGACGCGGUACCUGUAUAAGAAGCACCGGCUAACUACGUGCCAGCAGCCGCGGUAAUUC
This 408-nucleotide ribosomal RNA is filed under the name uncultured bacterium. Its description in RNAcentral is "partial 16S ribosomal RNA". It matches the Rfam family "Bacterial small subunit ribosomal RNA", at positions 28 to 526 of the family's 1533-position model. The record is from RNAcentral.